AACUGCCGGUGAUCGGCCGGAGGAAGGUGUGGAUGACGUCAAGUCCUCAUGGCCCUUACGGGUUGGGCUACACACGUGCUACAAUGGUAGUGACAAUGGGUUAAUCCCAAAAAGCUAUCUCAAUUCGAAGGUGGGGUCUGCAACUCGACCCCAUGAAGUCGGAAUCGCUAGUAAUCGCGUAACAGCAUGACGCGGUGAAUACGUUCCCGGGCCUUGUACACACCGCCCGU
RNAcentral lists this ribosomal RNA (230 nucleotides) under uncultured Alphaproteobacteria bacterium. RNAcentral's name for it is "partial 16S ribosomal RNA". It matches the Rfam family "Bacterial small subunit ribosomal RNA", at positions 1147 to 1397 of the family's 1533-position model. The record is from RNAcentral. Lineage: Bacteria; Pseudomonadati; Pseudomonadota; Alphaproteobacteria.